CAGUCGCCACGGGAAUACGUAGGUGGCAAGCGUUGUCCGGAAUUAUUGGGCGUAAAGCGCGCGCAGGUGGUUUAAUAAGUCUGAUGUGAAAGCCCACGGCUCAACCGUGGAGGGUCAUUGGAAACUGUUAAACUUGAGUGCAGGAGAGGAGAGUGGAAUUCCACGUGUAGCGGUGAAAUGCGUAGAGAUGUGGAGGAACACCAGUGGCGAAGGCGACUCUCUGGUCUGUAACUGACGCUGAGGAGCGGAAGCGUGGGGAGCGAACAGGAUUAGAUACCCGUGUAGUCCCUGUCUCUUAUAC
This 301-nucleotide ribosomal RNA is filed under the name uncultured bacterium. Its description in RNAcentral is "partial 16S ribosomal RNA". It matches the Rfam family "Bacterial small subunit ribosomal RNA", at positions 509 to 807 of the family's 1533-position model. The record is from RNAcentral.